This 1320-nucleotide long non-coding RNA is filed under the name Vulpes vulpes (red fox). Its description in RNAcentral is "lncRNA (ENSVVUG00000015349.1)". Lineage: Eukaryota; Metazoa; Chordata; Mammalia; Carnivora; Canidae. The record is from RNAcentral.
CUGGAAUCUAAAAAAUAAAAGAAAAAGAAAACAAAUGAAAAACAGAAAGACCCAUAAAUACAGAAAACAGACUGCUGGUUGCCAGGGGGAGGAGGUGGGGAGAUGGAUAAAGUGAGUGAAAGGCAGUAGGAGUUACAAGUUUCCACUUAUGGAAUGAAGAAAUCAUGGGAAUAAAAGGUACAGUUUAAGGAAUAUAGUCAGUGGUAGUAUAACAGCAUUGUAUGGUGACAGAUGGUAGCUACGCUUGUAUGGUGAGGAUAGCAUAACGUAGAGAGUCGUCCAAUCACUAUGUUGUACACCUGAAAACUAAUGUCACACUAUGUCAAUUCUUAGAAAGAGAAGAAAAAAAGAAAGAAAGAAAGAAAGAAAGAGAAAGAAAGAGAAAGAAAGAAAGAAAGAAAGAAAGGAAGAAAGAAAGAAAGGAGAAAGAAAGGCAAAGAAAAAGGAAGAAAGAAAAUCUGACAGAGAGUUUGGAGGUAAAACGACAGGCCCUAAGAAGCCACGAAGUUCAACUUUCUCAUUUCAUAACUGGGAAAACCGAGGCUCGAGGCAUUUCUUGGUUUGCUGGAGGUCAAACAAGACAUUAGCUAGCAGCAGUUGUGUAAGUGCUACUCAGAUCUCUGGACUACUGGCGCCAUUGAACUAAAGGAAGUAACUGACAAGCCCAUGUGAUUAUCUGCCUGUAUUUCUUGUUCCUUUAUGAAAAGAUUUAGCCACCAUUUAUUAAGCUUCUGAUAAGGGCAGGCUCUGUGUUAAAGUGCUUAUAAAUAUUCUCUCAUUUUAUCAUCUGACCACGGUAAUAUUGUCAGUUUUAUCCUUAUUGUACAGCCAUGACACAGAGAAGUUUUAUGCCACGUCCAACAUCACACAGCUUAUCAGGGGUGGAAUGUCAAUGAGGAGGCAAGUCAGCUUGACUUCAAGUAAAACUCAUGCAGCACCUCACUUGACUUUCUCUUUUUUCCCCGUUCCACCCUUCUUCUGCCACUCCUUCUCCUUCCUAUUUCCAUUUAAAAGCAGUUUUGAUUAAAAUCAAAGGUCAGCUGCCCAUAAGUUAGCUCAAAUGUUCUUUCUUCCUUGCUUUUAGAGACAUAUUACCAUCUUCCAUCAUCCACGUAGAUCAAGAAGGAUUCAGGCUGAGACGAGCAUGCAUAAAAUAAUUGGAGUAUCAUUAUAAGUCAGGCACUUUGGAGGGGUCAUUCUCUGCCCUUACGGAAGCUGAACUUGAUCAUACUUUCUUUUUCCCUCAUAUCUACUAAAGAUCAACUGAUAUAGAAUGGAUCGAGUUGCUAAUAAUCUACUACUGAUUUCUUUAAAACCUAA